UACGUAGGGGGCUAGCGUUGUCCGGAUUUAUUGGGCGUAAAGAGCGUGUAGGCGGCUUGGUAGGUCUUGCGUCAAAACCUGAGGCUCAACCUCAGUUCGCGUGGGAAACCACCUAGCUAGAGUCCGGAAGAGGAGAACGGAAUUCCCAGUGUAGCGGUGAAAUGCGCAGAUAUCGGGAGGAACACCAAUGGCGAAGGCAGCUCGCUGGGACGUUACUGACGCUGAGACGCGAAAGCGUGGGGAGCAAACAGGG
RNAcentral lists this ribosomal RNA (253 nucleotides) under uncultured bacterium. RNAcentral describes it as "partial 16S ribosomal RNA". It matches the Rfam family "Bacterial small subunit ribosomal RNA", at positions 524 to 777 of the family's 1533-position model. The record is from RNAcentral.